GAAAGUCGGAACCGAUGGACAUAAAGAAUAAUAGAUAUUUCCUGAAGCACAUAAAGAUGAGAUCUUAAUUUUUGAGUUACUAUCUCCUCAAAACAUAAAUUCUAAAGUGGAAAAAUAUUCCAACUCUUUCCUUCUUGUUAGUGCGAACAAAGGCUGUCUAUCCCUAUAUUGAGUUGCUCUUGAACUGUUAUUGCUACGCAACUGAUUUUGGAAGAUAAGUCUGUGAGCCUUAUUUGUUUGGAUAUUUGUCCAAAAAUCAUAUCAAAACAUCUAUUGGACUGGUCAUAUCGUUUCCUUCGAGUCAAUUGCAUGUUUCUGAGUACUUACCUUUUUUUCAACUAUAUGAGGAUGGAAGUUUUAGUUUUGCAGUUUAGAUUAAUAUAUCCUAUUUGUGCAUCAUUCACUUUGUUGCCUUGUUUUUCAAGUUAUUUUCUUCUAACAAAUCUUUUGUUGGAGAACAUGAAGGAUACAUCCCGUAAAAGUAAUACUGAAGAAGGAUUGUCAUUCUUUCAUCAGAGGGCAACAGAAUGACCUGCCCCUGUGGGAUUCGUUUUGAUAAAAUCAAUGAAGAGAAGGGAUAUGUCAAUUAUCUUUUAAGAAUUUUAGCAGAUAUUUGGCACUGGAGCUUAAAUUUCAGUUCCUGCUUACGCUCAGAAUGAUGAGGAAGAAGGUGAAGAAUGAGAAGAAGAGGGCAUGAGUAAAUGUACAGGAAAGGAGUUGAAGAAGCUUUUGCAGUGUCAUAGCCAUUGUAAAUAAUUUAUGUAAAAGUUUGUAAAUAAUUUAUGUAUCUCUCUACUAUUUUGGUGAAUGUAUUAUUUGAAUAUAAUGAAAUUUGAUAUUGAAAUAUAAUUAGAUUGUGUUGGAUAUGAAUAUAAUUUAUUGUUUAAUAUUGUGUACAUGCACUCAAAGUAGAUUCU
Molecule: long non-coding RNA, 917 nt
Organism: Asparagus officinalis (garden asparagus)
Lineage: Eukaryota; Viridiplantae; Streptophyta; Magnoliopsida; Asparagales; Asparagaceae
Exons: 3
Source: RefSeq, a predicted model, not a curated record